This 497-nucleotide ribosomal RNA is filed under the name uncultured bacterium. RNAcentral describes it as "partial 16S ribosomal RNA". It matches the Rfam family "Bacterial small subunit ribosomal RNA", at positions 28 to 507 of the family's 1533-position model. The record is from RNAcentral.
GACGAACGCUGGCGGCGUGCCUAAUACAUGCAAGUUGAGCGAUGAAGAUUGGUGCUUGCACCAAUUUGAAGAGCAGCGAACGGGUGAGUAACGCGUGGGGAAUCUGCCUUUGAGCGGGGGACAACAUUUGGAAACGAAUGCUAAUACCGCAUAACAACUUUAAACAUAAGUUUUAAGUUUGAAAGAUGCAAUUACAUCACUCAAAGAUGAUCCCGCGUUGUAUUAGCUAGUUGGUGAGGUAAAGGCUCACCAAGGCGAUGAUACAUAGCCGACCUGAGAGGGUGGUCGGCCACAUUGGGACUGAGACACGGCCCAAACUCCUACGGGAGGCAGCAGUAGGGAAUCUUCGGCAAUGGACGAAAGUCUGACCGAGCAACGCCGCGUGAGUGAAGAAGGUUUUCGGAUCGUAAAACUCUGUUGGUAGAGAAGAACGUUGGUGAGAGUGGAAAGCUCAUCAAGUGACGGUAACUACCCAGAAAGGGACGGCUAACUACGUG